AGCUUCACAACUCCCCAUCCGUCACUUUUAUCCCUGGUCUUAGUUUUGUAAAUAUAGCAACUGUCUCUACCUACGCUAUUUUACAAACCGACCAAGCCCAGCUUGGCCAAUUUUCUACGAUUGAAAAUCUGAGCCAAGGAGGGCAUGCUGGCGGAACUCCAGAUAACGUUCUGAAAUCAAGAGGAUCUGGGAUUGACGGAAGAAAGGAGGAAGACAGCCUGAGUGUCUGAAUGACUGAACUACUUGAGGGCCUUAAGCAGCAGAGUCUUCUGUUACCCUGAAAGGCAGAGGCUCAGCGGAAGAUCACAGCAACUACAAACACACACAGGCAGUGCCUUGCUUUCAUCUGUCUCAGUGAACAACUCAUACUUUUGCAAUCCUGUUUUGGGUGGUCUUGAGGAAAGCAGACUUGUAGAAGCUUACAAUUGUCCGCUUACGUGCCUUUCUCUUCUAAUCAAUAAAGGCUCUUUAAUUAAAGGA
Molecule: long non-coding RNA, 480 nt
Organism: Peromyscus californicus insignis
Lineage: Eukaryota; Metazoa; Chordata; Mammalia; Rodentia; Cricetidae
Exons: 2
Source: RefSeq, a predicted model, not a curated record